Long non-coding RNA from Fukomys damarensis (Damara mole-rat), 368 nucleotides. RefSeq lists it as uncharacterized. Lineage: Eukaryota; Metazoa; Chordata; Mammalia; Rodentia; Bathyergidae. The transcript is spliced from 3 exons. The record is from RefSeq and is a predicted model, not a curated record.
CAAAAAGAACUUUCUCCUUGGUAGGGAGAGGGCACUUUCCUAACCUGCAAGCAUGUGAAAGGGCUAACAGCAGCCUGGUGAUCAGCCUGCCUGGGGCCUCCUCUUCAGGGCCAGACGUGGACCCUAACUCACCUUUCUCGAAGUCUACCUCUUCCUCAUGCUCCUCCCUCAUGCUCAGGUCACCUGGCCAGAAAGGGUAUUGUGUGGAAUUCCCCCAUAGAGACUGGAAGGCUGGCCCUGGAGGCCGGCAGAGGGACAAGGAGGUCGUGGCCGACAGCUUUCUUCAGCAACCCAUCACCUCCUCUGGGCCCCUCCAGAUGCCUUACCGAGCUGCGUGCUCCACACCGUGCAGAGGCAGCCAGGCUGGG